This 1231-nucleotide long non-coding RNA is filed under the name Mustela putorius furo (domestic ferret). Its description in RNAcentral is "lncRNA (ENSMPUG00000024916.1)". The record is from RNAcentral. Lineage: Eukaryota; Metazoa; Chordata; Mammalia; Carnivora; Mustelidae.
GCUCCCCUUGUGCAUCUCUCACGCAUGGCGGCACAACGUUUCUGUCAACAAGCCUUUGGUCCCGCUUCUCCCGCGGAGGCCCCGGAGCUCUUUGCGCUCUUCUCCUGCUCACCCUGCUCCACACCCCCCUCGUCUCCGGUGGCAGCUCCCUGCUCUCCUGAUCAUGCCUUCUCCACGGCAAGUUCCGAGACCGCAGCAUCCUGGGGUCCCACAGGGAAACGGACGCGUCGGUGCUGCACGUGGGUUUACCUGGGCUGGUUGCUGACAUCCUUCGAUUAGCCUCCAACGGCUUUUGGAGGCCGGGAAGACAACCGGUGAAGUCACUUAUGGACCCCAGGUUCUAUUUAAAAAUAGCUCCAUUUCUAGAAGCUGGUGUCCAUGCAUACUUGCUGUGAUUCAAUUUUAAAACAGAAAAGCAAUAUUUUUUUUUUUCCAGAAAACCUUUAUCAACUUGACAGAUAUAGAAGGAGUAUUUUCAGUUGAGCAGGCUUAUCACUUCAGAAGGCAGGCAGAACUCGGGUGAAGUUCCCUCUCUUUGUUUGAUUGUUACUAUAAAAAUAUGGAAUCAAUAUUUCACACUAGAGAAUGAUGUUUAUAAAAUGUAUUGUUCUGUGUGGAUAUACCCCCAAUUAAUAUUUUAUAGGAACAAGGCACUCUUAAAAAACCGAUUUGGACUUUCAUUAGUUUCAUCGUAUCUGUGAAUACUUUCAGUGCAAGGCUUUCUCAAUAUUUGCCCAAACUCUUACCAGCGUGAGCAUUUCUAGAAAGAUCAUGGUUUUCCUUCUGUCUGUGUGUGGCCUUGAUGGAGACAGCCACGCCAGCUGGGGGGGCAUAUUUGUGUAAGCCAGAUUCCGUCUUGACUUGGGCAAUGAACACAUGUGUCCUCUGGAACAGUCACCCGAGAUAUCAGCCUCCCGUCAGAAUCUGAAUCAUGCAGGACGUGGACAUCAUGACUUGCCGUCAGCAGGUCGUAGGCUCUCCUGUUCCCUCCUCAUUUGCAAGGCCCAUGACUGAGGCUCUUGGGUUCACUUCUUUUUUUCUCUCCAUGCAGCUGCGCUCAACUGCUUUCAGAAGAGCCCGGAUCAGGUGUCUGGAGUCUGGAUGGCGACCCGCUGGCCAGGGAGGCUAUGAUCCCAUGCUUGGGCUGGCCUGCACGGUGGGGCCAGGAGGCGUGGAGACACGGGCCCAGGAGGAGAAGUCACAGGGCGGUGGAGUCAUUCAAGUGCUGUAA